UGGGAACACUGAUAAACCCAGAGGCGAAAUGAAAGUGAAAGGCCGGCCUCGAGCCGGUCGCAGGGAAGAUGCGCGGGCGUCGUCAGACGCCCCGCCGCAUUCCCGAGGCGUUUCGAGAAAGCCCCCGUGCGAUUAUCGAGACGCACUGAGAGCGUACACGCUGGGACCCGAAAGAUGGUGAACUAUGCCUGGUCAGGUCGAAGUCAGGGGAAACCCUGAUGGAGGACCGAAGCGAUUCUGACGUGCAAAUCGAUCGUCCGAACUGGGUAUAGGGGCGAAAGACUAAUCGAACUAUCUAAUAGCUGGUUCCAUCCGAAGUUUCCCUCAGGAUAGCUGGCGCUCGAGAAACAUGACGGUUUUCGGACCGCCAUUCGCACAGUCUCAUCCGGUAAAGCGAAUGAUUAGAGGCAUUGGGGCCGAAAUGGCCUCAACCUAUUCUCAAACUUUAAAUGGGUGAGAUCUCCUUCUUGCUCGAAGAUGAAGUAGGAGCUCGGAUGGGAGUGCCAAGUGGGCCAAUUUUGGUAAGCAGAACUGGCGCUGUGGGAUGAACCAAACGUCGAGUUAAGGCGCCCAAUGAACGCUCAUCGGAUACCAUAAAAGGCGUUGGUCGCUCAGGACAGCAGGACGGUGGCCAUGGAAGUCGGA
RNAcentral lists this ribosomal RNA (645 nucleotides) under Allogamus laureatus. RNAcentral's name for it is "partial large subunit ribosomal RNA". It matches the Rfam family "Eukaryotic large subunit ribosomal RNA", at positions 695 to 1265 of the family's 3401-position model. The record is from RNAcentral. Lineage: Eukaryota; Metazoa; Arthropoda; Insecta; Trichoptera; Limnephilidae.